Molecule: ribosomal RNA, 253 nt
Filed under: uncultured bacterium
Lineage: Bacteria
Description: partial 16S ribosomal RNA
Rfam family: Bacterial small subunit ribosomal RNA
Source: RNAcentral
UACGAAGGCCCCGAGCGUUAUCCGGAAUUAUUGGGCGUAAAGGGUGCGUAGGUGGUUUUGCGCGUCUGUUGUUAAAUGUCACAGCUCAACUGUGUCACCGCAAUGGAUACGGCAAGACUAGAGGGUGCGAGAGGUCUGUGGAACUCACGGUGUAGGGGUGAAAUCCGUUGAUAUCGUGGGGAACACCAAAGGCGAAGGCAGCAGACUGGCGCAUUUCUGACACUGAGGCACGAAAGCGUGGGGAGCAAAAAGG